Molecule: long non-coding RNA, 1753 nt
Organism: Thunnus maccoyii (southern bluefin tuna)
Lineage: Eukaryota; Metazoa; Chordata; Actinopteri; Scombriformes; Scombridae
Exons: 2
Source: RefSeq, a predicted model, not a curated record
CAGGUGAGAGACAGACAGGUCUGGACAAUUUCUCAUACAAAACAUUCACAUUUCAUUUCAUUCAACAUUUGAUCUGUCAGUCAUUUAUCAAUCAUCAAUAUUUGAUCAAUAAUCCAUCUUCAUGGAGAGGCUGGGCCGAACAGUUUGAAUCCACCUGACAUCUUCACCACCAGGUGAAUCUGAGCACACCUGUAGCAGAAGCCCAGCCCCUGGAUCUGGUUGUCAUGGUUACCUGUGGCAGAACAGAAGCAAUGACAUCAUGGUGGCCUCAGAGCCCCGCCCACUGGGUGGAGCUCUGACAGGCACUGACCAAUGAGGGUGAGGGGCUGACGGGGUCAUGUGACAUUGUGGUUGGUCGGUGGCCUUGGGCCGGGCCUCUGUGAUUGGCUGACCUCUGGAGAGUGGGGUCAGUGACUUCAGAGUCGUCCUGGAUCUGGGUUCAGCAUUCAGCGGGUCAAAGGUAAUCAGCCGGGCGCCGGGCCAGGACUCCCUGACAACUGAACCCUGACCUUUGAACUUUCUGCGAUCUCGUAACACGACCGCUGUCUCUGGUUGCUUAGCAACAAGUUGUCGAGUUCUAAGGGGAAGGGGCGGAGUUGACGGAGGGCGACGCUGAGGACAACGACAGGGGGCGGAGUCAGAUGGCUGCUUUCGCCGUGACAUCAUCUUUUUCACACUGACAAACAUCCAACAAACAACAGUGACCAAUCACAGACCUCCGUCCAAUCAGAGCUUAGCUACAGACUCCGCCGACCAAUCACAGUUCAGAUCAUCUAAUUAGGAGACGAUUUGAAGGCUGUCCGAUCAGAGAAUCCUAUCCACCGUCCUCAUUACGGUCUGGACCAUGUGAUGUUCCUCGUUAAGGUCUGGACCAUCUGUUUCUCCUUGUUAAGGUCUGGACCGUCUGUUGUUCCUCGUUAAGGUCUGGACCAUCUGUUUCUCCUUGUUAAGGUCUGGACCGUCUGUUGUUCCUCGUUAAGGUCUGGACCGUCUGUUGUUCCUCGUUAAGGUCUGGACCGUCUGUUUCUCCUUGUUAAGGUCUGGACCAUCUGUUGUUCCUCGUUAAGGUCCAGACCGUCUGUUGCUCCUCGUUAAUGUCCAGACCGUCUGUUGUUCCUCAUUAAGGUCUGGGCCAUCUGUUUCUCCUUGUUAAGGUCUGGACCGUCUGUUGUUCCUCGUUAAGGUCUGGACCAUCUGUUUCUCCUUGUUAAGGUCUGGACCGUCUGUUGUUCCUCGUUAAGGUCUGGACCGUCUGUUUCUCCUUGUUAAGGUCUGGACCGUCUGUUUCUCCUUGUUAAGGUCUGGACCGUCUGUUUCUCCUUGUUAAGGUCUGGACCAUCUGUUGUUCCUCGUUAAGGUCCGGGCCGUCUGUUGUUCCUCGUUAAGGCCUGGACCGUCUGUUGUUCCUCGUUAAGAUCUGGACCGUCUGUUGUUCCUCGUUAAGGUCCGGACCGUCUGUUGUUCCUCGUUAAGGUCUGGACUGUCUGUUGUUCCUCGUUAAGGUCCAGACUGUAUGUUAAGAACAUUGACAGACUUCAAGUUUCCAUGGAGACCCCACCCAAUCUCUCUCCCCCACACAUUGCUCUCUGAUUGGCUGCUGUUUCAUUCCAUCUCCUGCCCACUCACGGUCACAGCCAAUAGGAACAGUGCAGCUGGAUUCUCCUCCCGCCCACUCAGAGUGAACACAGACAGACGUCUGAUUCAUUCACAGACUGUUCGUCCACACCAGACUAAUAAAGUUUUACUGAACGGA